UGAGGGAUCUCAGGUAAAGAGGCCCAGGCUCUCUUUGUCCUACUGCUAUCUCCAUGGCAUUUUCAUUACAAUUAACUGUAAUAGAUAGAGUGAGAAAACUGGAGGUUUCAGAAAGUACAGAUGGGGAGAAAGAUUAAAUCAAUUCUGUGAGAACAACUGCCUAAAUGAUUUCUACUUAAGGUACACUGGACAAAAAGGAAUGGUGGGAGAUACCAAUUUCAUUAGUCAGGGCUACGCUUACCAGGAGAGAUCCAACUACUGGAGCCAAUCUAUGAGGAUGACUUUCCUUAGCCUCUGCCUAUUUGAAUGCUUCUAGCUUAUUUGAAAGAAGAAGAAACACCAGGCUUCCACUAACAAAAUGAAGCCUUAUGUGAGGACUCGAAAUGGGUGCAUUCACUUGAGAAAUGUGAACAGGGCUGCAUAUCAUCAGCCAGGCUUCAAGACGUCUUGGCUGCCUUGGUGGUGUAAACUUCAGUAUCGUUCAAUACACACUCACUGAUUUUGACCUUUCAAGAAAAUAUGUUGGCCCUUCUGAAGUUACGAGCAAAAUUUGCUGUGAUUUCAACAGAGAAGAGGUUACCCUCAGGGAUAUCAUUGUGAGAGAAAGAAAUACUGAACUUGGAGGACACCGGUGACCCAUCUGUCUCAGGACUGUUUAUUGGAAAUGCCAUAGGGAAGGGCAUGAAAACCCACAUACUUCCAGCAGAUGAGUCCUCUCAGCUCCAUGGUAUACAGAACUGUGGUCCUAGCUCUUUUAAUACUGGGCAGGCUAACUCGAUUCUUCUUCCCUCUGGCCAGAACACAUGCCACUGAAGGAACGAUUUAUUUCCCUAAGCAAUGCUGCUUUCAGCAAUUUCAGAUAGCUUUAAAUUAUGUCUUCUGAUCUGUGUACCAAAUAAUUGCAGAGUGUAUGUGAGAAGACCUGGGUAUAUCUCUACAUAUGCAUUGAGAUGGAACAAAAAAAGACGUUUAUAGUAAAACUGCCAGCAUACCUGCUGAAAUGUGUGCACCUAUAGGUAAUAUGUUUUGAAAUAUGAUACCUAAGCAUAAGGUAUGUAGUGUGUUCAAUAUGCUUCUUUAUUAACCUCUAACAAAACCCAAACUAACAUACAAAGUACUCAAGCUUGACUGUCUGACAGCUUCAUCUGCCAACAAUCCUAUAAUUAGGACUCAGAAAUAUAGAAAUGCAAAGGACAGCAAUUUGUACUGUAGACUUCCAGAUGCUUUUAAAACUCCCUUGGAAACUGAACCAGGAUGAAUGCGAAUGCCUCAUUCCUAUGUGCACUUAGAAGGAACCCUCUCCUAGGCAAAACAUGAAGGCAUUUAUUUAUAUUUUUAGUCUUUUUUUUUUUUUUUUUUUUUGUACACUGGAAGCUUAAUGCUGAAAGAAAGUUUUCAUUAUCUGAGUUGAUAGCUAACAGUCAAAGUUGCUCUCUUGUCUCGGUAUCUUUCAGUGUUUGGGAAACCGAUUUAUAACAAUACAUGGAUGCACUGAAUUAGAAAAGACAGUUUUAGAGCAGUGACAUGUUUUUUUUCCUACAGUGCACACUCCACUGAGAUAAGUCAAAUACACUGCAUGAGAGCUGCAUGCAGUCUGAAAGGUUCUCCUGCCCGCACUCUCGUUUUCUUCCUUCCUUUUUUCUCUGCCAGCCUGGGGGCCCACAGGAGACCCAAAUCCUGCCAUUUUGUGGCCCCUUGUUACAAAGGGCACAGCAACUGGUGAAGUAAAAUUGCUGCUCAUGAAUCUGACUAAGCUUACAAGCUCAGUAACACACAGAGCUUUCACUGUUUUGGAGCCUGGAAAUUCAAGAUCUUGUCCAAAUUUUAGCAGACUGUGAAGUCCUUGAACUUAGACCCAACCCUACUUUUAGUUCUGUAAUUUCCAGAAAAGACUGGCUGGUUUCUCAGUGAUUCUUAAGUGUCCCAAACGGCGGAUUCUAAGACUAUUUCCUUAACAAAAGGUGUGUAUUUCAUAAAUCUACCACUGGUGUUUGAAGCUGAGAUACAGUUAUUUGUGAACUAGACUUUUUCUGCCGUUUAUUUUAUUUAACAAAACUGCAGUGAUGCUAACUCUGCUAAUUCAUUGUGAUAAGCUGUGUAUUCCUGCCAUGAGUAUUCAGACAUACUCCCUCCUUACCCACCUGAACAGCAUAAACACAUCCUCUGCCAUGUCAGGCACUUUGAAUGCUUUUCUACAACUCAAACAUCUUUCUUAUCUCUUCCAUCAUUUCCAGAAUGCAAAAAAGAAAUGUCUUGCAUGGUUUUAAAACCUUUCAAGUUUCGUGAGUUAUGUAUACCUCUUCAGACCAAUGUGAUUUUACAUUUAAUAAGCUGAGAACAAAUAACAAGGAAAAGCCUUGAAAAAUUUACUGUAAGACAUCACAAUAUGAAUCUAUCUAUCUAUAAAAAAAGUGAAUCCAAGCUGAAUAUAAAAUGGCUGCUUCCUCCAACAGGCCCUGUGAGGUACAGCUCAAUGUACAAAGCAAAAAUUGCUUUGCAUAUAUAUAUAUAUACAUAUAUAUAUAUAUAUAUAUGCACACACACACAUACAUAUGUAUGCCAUGUGCAGAAAUUUCUGGUGUAGUCAAAAUUGUUGCAUUUAGCAGACUUUUGUCAUAAAUGUCCACUUGAGUGCACAGAUGAACUUGUAAAACCAAUAUAACUGCUCUGGCUUCAUUGCUAGUUAGUAAUGAAAUUUUUUAGAUCAACUUCUGUGCACUUCUGAUUCUGCAUGUGUAUACUUCCGUUUUAUACCCUUAUACAGAAAAAAAUAAUUAUAAUGGACAAUGGUUUUGUUAGCAAAUCUCCAAAAUUGCAGAACCAAAGAAUUAAGGGUAGUUUUACGUGAGGAAGAGCAUGCAAUGUUCAGAAGUAACAGGUAAAUGAACAUUUAUGUUUACCCAAACAAAGUUUCAGAUCAUUCUAUAUAAUAUAUAAUUAAGCAAGUAAUAUAUAUUACUACCAUUACUAGCACUGGUAUUUGUUAUGAUUUUCCACAGUAUUGAGAAUAAUUCGAGAUAGAUUUCCCCCGUUAGCAUUUCACCAGGAAGCUGCUUUAUAACACAAUUUAAGACAGAAAGUUAAGAUCAUACCCACUAACAGAGUUAAUAAUCAAUUCCAGCAAUAUAUUUCAAGUCCUACUUUUUGCUCAGAUCUAUUCUUUUUUUUUUUUUUUUUUUCAAUAUAUUUUCUCAUAAAUUCUCUCUUUCUCUCUCUUUUUAU
This is a long non-coding RNA of Coturnix japonica (Japanese quail), 3222 nucleotides long. RefSeq lists it as uncharacterized. The record is from RefSeq and is a predicted model, not a curated record. NCBI's taxonomy places the organism in Eukaryota, Metazoa, Chordata, Aves, Galliformes, Phasianidae.